RNAcentral lists this ribosomal RNA (779 nucleotides) under uncultured Neocallimastigales. RNAcentral describes it as "partial large subunit ribosomal RNA". It matches the Rfam family "Eukaryotic large subunit ribosomal RNA", at positions 20 to 635 of the family's 3401-position model. The record is from RNAcentral. Lineage: Eukaryota; Fungi; Neocallimastigomycota; Neocallimastigomycetes; Neocallimastigales.
UACUAGAGUAGCACUCGCAUAUCAAUAAGCGGAGGAAAAGAAACUAACAAGGAUUCCCCUAGUAACGGCGAGUGAAGCGGGGAAGAGCUCAAAUUUGAAAUCUUAAAGGGUUUCCCUUUACGAAUUGUAGUUUAAAGAAGUGUUUUCUGUUGAGGUUUUGGUAAAAGUUCUUUGGAAUAGGACAUCAUAGAGGGUGAGAAUCCCGUAUUUGACCUUUACUUUCAACUUUGUGAUACACUUUCAAAGAGUCGGAUUGUUUGGGAAUGCAGGUCCAUAAAUGGGUGGUAAAUUUCAUCUAAAGCUAAAUAUUGGCGAGAGACCGAUAGCGAACAAAGUACCGUGAGGGAAAGAUGAAAAGAACUUUGAAAAGAGAGUUAAACAGUACGUGAAAUUGUCAAAAGGGAAGCGUUUGACACCAGUGUUGUUUUUCUGAAAAUCAAUUAAAGAACUGUUUAUGCUAAGUUGUUUAGACUUUAUCAGCUAUCUGUUUAGUUUUGAGCUUUUCUUUAAUGCACUUUUCAGUUAACAAGUCAACAUCAAUUUCUUUUGCUGUAAAAAAGCUUGAGGAAGGUGGCUUGAGAUUCGUCUUAAGUGUUUAUAGCCUCUUGCCUAUGCAGUCGGAGAGAUUGAGGUCUGCAGCGUAGAUCCUUCGGGGCUAAAUGCAUUUGUGCCUAAGUUAUAGCAUUUUAUAGACAACUUGUUGACUAUGAUUUGUCUUGUAGCUUACUCGCUUAUGUUAUUUUACCUACGCUUAGGAUGUUGAUCUACAGAGCGAGAGU